RNAcentral lists this ribosomal RNA (209 nucleotides) under uncultured bacterium. Its description in RNAcentral is "partial 16S ribosomal RNA". It matches the Rfam family "Bacterial small subunit ribosomal RNA", at positions 568 to 776 of the family's 1533-position model. The record is from RNAcentral.
CGCGUAGGCGGACAUUUAAGUCAGGGGUGAAAUCCCGGGGCUCAACCCCGGAACUGCCCUUGAUACUGGGUGUCUUGAGACCGGAAGAGGUAAGUGGAACUGCGAGUGUAGAGGUGAAAUUCGUAGAUAUUCGCAAGAACACCAGUGGCGAAGGCGGCUUACUGGUCCGGAUCUGACGCUGAGGCGCGAAAGCGUGGGGAGGCAAAACA